GACGAACGCUGGCGGCGUGCUUAACACAUGCAAGUCGAACGGAAAGGCCCUGCUUUUGUGGGGUGCUCGAGUGGCGAACGGGUGAGUAACACGUGAGUAACCUGCCCUUGACUUUGGGAUAACUUCAGGAAACUGGGGCUAAUACCGGAUAGGAGCUCCUGCUGCAUGGUGGGGGUUGGAAAGUUUCGGCGGUUGGGGAUGGACUCGCGGCUUAUCAGCUUGUUGGUGGGGUAGUGGCUUACCAAGGCUUUGACGGGUAGCCGGCCUGAGAGGGUGACCGGGAACAAUGGAACUGAGAAAAGGUCAAGAAUCAGAAGGGAGGCAGCAGUGGGGAAUAUGGGACAAUGGGCGCAAGCGUGAUGAAGACAUACCGCGUGGGUGAAGAAGGCCGUCGGGUUGUAAAGACCUUUUGGUGGGAAAGAAAAGCAGCAGGUUAAUACCCCGCUGGUAUGAAGGUACACAAAGAAUAAGCACCGGCUAACUUCGUG
RNAcentral lists this ribosomal RNA (488 nucleotides) under uncultured bacterium. RNAcentral describes it as "partial 16S ribosomal RNA". It matches the Rfam family "Bacterial small subunit ribosomal RNA", at positions 28 to 507 of the family's 1533-position model. The record is from RNAcentral.